AAUAGAAUAGGGUUUGUUUGCUUCUUCUUCCGAACGCUAAGGGUGUACUUGCACCUUUUCCCUAAAGAAAAUGCGAGGACAACUCUCAGUCAGUCCGACAGAAUGAAACAAAAAUGGUUGCGUCUAUCAACUCAACAUUUCGAAUUUAGGAGGGAAUGAAGUGUGAAAAGCCGAAAGAGAGAAAGAGUAACACUGGGAAGCCAAAAAUAAUGGCCACUAACCUCUCAAGCUUAAUACACGAACUCCGAGAACGCAUAGCCGCAUCCUCUUCCACGCCACCCAACACCAUCGAUGAUGAUGCAUUGGGGAACAGAUUCCGUGCCGUCCUUCCUAAUCUUCUUCACUCCUACGUCGUUCCCUCUUCCUCAGCUAGUGAGCGAGAGGUUAUUGCUGUAUUGAAGUUAAUUUCUCAUAUUGCUAAAAAUUUUCCUGGCGUUUUUUACCAUGGGAAGGCUAGUGCUGUGCUACCGGUGAUUGGUAGGAUAAUUCCAUUCUUCGCGGAACCUGCAUUUGGCUCACGUCAUGGAGUAAUUUUUGAAACGGUUGGAUCUCUAUUAUCAUUGCUUCGUAUUGGAGCACGAGACACGUACUGUAAAUUUUUCAUAGAUGCCAUGUUGGCUGUUGAAGAUCUUUUGUAUGCAGCAUCGCUUUCUGUUGAAGCCAAAAAUAUUCCAGUUUCUGCUACAGUAACUCUGAAGUGUUUCUGUAAGUCCUUUGCUGGUGUUCUCAGUGAUCCUACUUGUCUAAGUGAUGUUCCUGCAAUCAGUAAACCCCAGGAUGGUUCUGGUAUCCUGAUCAACAUUACCAGCAAAAAGAGGUGGCAACCAUUUGCAACUUGGAUGAUUAAGCUUAUUAGCAAAUGCUUAACUGAAGGAACUUUAUAUGUGGAGGGACUCAUUAAUAUGUCAAAUGUUUGGGCUGCCUGUUCUCUCUUGUGCUAUGGAGAUGCUGACUUGCAUAUGGCUUGUUUUGACUUUGCACGCAUAAUCGGAUCAUUGAUAUAUGAUGACAUCAUUCCUCAUGAGAAUUUAAUCCAGUCAAUAGCUGCAAUAUUAAGUAAGGACAAAGAGGGACUUCCAGUAUUCAGAAGCUUGGUGUAUGAUUCCUCCAUUGCUGGUUGCCUUACUGCAUUGCACUCUAGUUGUCCUGAUGAUGUUGUGAAAUUAACAGCUGCUGAUUUAAUGAAUGUUUUCCCUUGGUCAAUGUGGAGAACCAAGAGCCAAGAGCUUAAGAUGGCUUUGUGCAGUGCAUACACACGGAUUGCUAGAACUUGUCCCCCUCAUAUUUGGAGACCUGAAUCUCUGAUGAAUAUACUUUGUUUUCCAGAACCAUGCCCUUCCCUAGUCGAUUGCCUUCAUGUAACUCUCUUAAUCCUUGGUCCUGAGAGGGUUGGAGGGGGAGUGGUGAAUAAGGUUAGUGUGGCUUUACCCACAUCAUAUUAUGUAUCAAUUGAGCACACCAGGGUUGGAGAAAAGAGAUGUAUUCAGGAUUUAGAUACCAUCAAGAACAAACGCGUACGGUUUGAAAGAAAUGUUAUGGUUUCUGACGCUGAUAUUCUGGAGGAGAGUAAGCUUACUCGUAUAGUUAGUUUUGAAAGAGAAGAGGAAGAGUACGCAGACCUUAUGCAUGCAUCUCUUCUUUCACUACUUGACAUUUUGCAGUCUUCUCCUUCUGAAUGUAAAUCUUUAAUACCAGAUGUUGCAUUAGCAGCUCUUAGCAUGCUUUGUAUUUCCUUCUGUAGAUACCCAAUGACCAUUAUGUCACUCUGCAUCUUCCAGCAGAUGCAUUCAUGGAUACCAUGGAUAUGUGAGCAGGCAAGACGAGGUGUUUUAUUCACGUUUGACAUUUCCAUCUACCUGGAAGGAAUUCACAGUAUUUUGCUUAUGCAAAGCACCCUUCUCAUGGAGGACAAGCCUUUCAAACUUAAGGGUGAUGAUGUGGAUCUUGUACACAUGUUAUUGAAGCUGCCAUGGACUCAUUCUCAUAUGGUUGGUGGGCCACAUCCUCCAUGGAAAGCAAAAUGUAACUCUGUUCAAGUUGUAUCUAAGCUUGGCCCUAGUUUCAAAACUGAAAGUGUUAUGGAAGUCUUGGAUUUGGGUCUUCAUGAUGGAGCUGAAGAAGUUAGACUUGAAACGAUUGUUUCUAUGCCAGUGAUUGUCUUGUGGUCUGGUCUUGAUGUGCUUGCACAAAUGUUCAAAAGGCUAGAAUUCUUGGGAAGAGAGGUGCAUGAUAGAGUUAAACAGAUAAUUCCCUUUUCUCUUGGUUUUAUGUCAUGCCUAUAUGGAUGUUGCAGUAGUGUUGAUGGUUUAGAGAGAGGUGAAUGCAAGUUAUAUUUGGAUAUCAAUAAUGUGAAACACAGUCAGACAGUAGAUUACCUACUGCAAGGAUUCUGGUGUUCAAUAUGUGAAAAAGGUGUUGUACCCAAUCAUGAAGUAUACUCUAAAAUAAUACAACUUCCUGAUAUACCAAGUGGAGAAGUGGGUUUCAAUUGUGAUUUCAUUCAUCUCCAGUCCCUAUUUUUUAAACUUCUCUAUGAUGGUGCUUUGGAAGAGGUUCAGGUUGGCUGUGUGAGAAUUAUUCAUCGUAUCCUUCUGCAUGGUACUUCUAAUAUCCUAACUAAGACAAGAUUUGAAUGGAUUAGAUGUAUUGAAUUCUUACUACUCAAUACAAAAAGGGCUGUAAGGGAAGCAUUUUGCACUCAGAUCAGUUUCUUCCUUAAUGAUUCUGUGUUGAGUUGUUUAUUUUUGGACGAGGAUUCGCCAAGUAAAAGUAAAGAACAAAAUUUUUUGGAUAUACUGAAAGAUUCUCUGGUGGCAGCUAAGGAUUCACCAAUUGUUGAGACUCUUCUUGAAUCUAUAGCACAAAUUAUGAUUGCAGUUGAUUUCUCCAGUGAACUUUUCUUGAGUUCACUUAUCUUGUUGGUUGAUCAACUAGAUAAUCCGCAUAUGACUGUGAGAAUGAACUCGUCAAGGCUAAUAAAGAAAUCUUGCUUUUUCCAUCUCAAAGGGGGCUUUGAACUAAUCCUUUCAAAAGCUGUUCAUAUCCAAAAUGAACUCUUUGACUAUCUAACAAUGAGUCUUGCAAGUCGACCAGUAAUGGUCCAAGAGUUUGCGGAAGCCAUAUUUGAUGUUGGGACAGAUAAACUUGUUGAGAAAAUGAUUCCCAUAGUUCUUCCAAAGCUUGUGGUCUCUCAUCAGGAUAAGGACAAAGCAUUUCUUGCAUUAUUGGAGUUAGUCAAAUAUGUCAACAGUGAUUUGGUGCCUCUUAUAGUGAACUGGCUACCUAAAGUGCUUGCUUUUGCCCUCCAUCGAGCAAAUAGGCAGGAAUUACUCUCCACUUUGCAGUUUUACCACAAUCAGACUGGUUCCGACAACCAAGAAAUAUUUGCAGCUGCACUACCUGCGCUUUUAGACGAACUUGUAUGCUUUCAAGAUGGUGGUAAUUUAGUUGAGAUACGUCAGAGGUUAUCAAGAGUGCCUGAGAUGAUUAAAGAAAUUGCCAAAGUUCUGACAGGGGCAGAAGAUCUUCCAGGCUUUUUGAGGAAUCAUUUUGUUGGCCUCCUUAACAGUAUUGAUAGAAAAAUGCUUCACUCACAAGAUUCAUUGGUACAGAAACAAGCUUUGGAACGCAUUAAGAUACUGAUUGAAAUGAUGGGCUCUCAGCUUAACACCUACGUCCCAAAACUUAUGGUUCUUCUUAUGCAUGCUAUUAAUAAAGAAUCACUACAAAGUGAGGGUCUUUCUCUCUUACAUUUUUUCAUAAUGCAAUUGGCAAACAAAUCACCAUCUAGCACUAAGCAUAUAAUUUCUCAAGUUCUUGCUGCCCUUUUUCCCAUCUUGGAAAAGUAUAAAGAAAGUCCUUCCAUGCAUUUGAACAAAGUUGUAAAAAUUUUGGAAGAGCUGGUAUUAAAGAACAAAACUGUAUUGAAGCAGCAUAUUUGUGAGUUCCCUCCAUUACCUAGUAUUCUUGAGCUAAUGGAAGUAAAUGAAUUUAUUCAGGAAGCACGUGGUUCAAUGACUCUGAAGGAUCAAUUGAGAGAUGUUGUUGAUGGUUUGAACCAUGAGAACUUGAAUGUGAGGUAUAUGGUAGCAUGUGAGUUGAACAAGUUACUAAACUUAAGGAGGGAAGAUCUUACAGCUUUGAUCACGGGCGAAGUUGCUGCAAACAUGGACGUUUUAAGCUCUUUAAUUACAUCCUUAUUAAGAGGAUGUGCGGAAGAAUCAAGGACUGUAGUGGGGCAGCGGUUGAAGUUGGUCUGUGCGGAUUGUCUUGGAGCACUGGGAGCAGUUGACCCUGCCAAGGUGAAGGGGUCUUCAUGCCAACGCUUUAAAAUUGAAUGUUCAGAUGAUGAUCUCAUCUUUGAGUUGAUCCAUAAACAUUUGGCUAGGGCUUUUAGAGCUGCACCUGAUACUGUUGUUCAAGACUCAGCUGCAUUGGCAAUACAGGAGCUGCUAAAAAUUGCAGGCUGUGGGGCAUCAUUGGAUGAGAAUGUUGCUGCUUCUUUGUCACAACCACUGAAAGAGAAGAGUACUGAAAAUAGUAGUGGGAUGAAUAAUAGGGGUCAAAGAUUGUGGGACCGGUUCUCUAACUAUGUCAAGGAGAUAAUAGCCCCUUGCCUAACCUCUAGAUUUCAGCUUCCAACUGUAGCUGAUUCAACAUCAGCGGGCCCAAUUUACCGUCCUUCUAUGUCAUUUAGAAGAUGGAUAUUUUUUUGGAUAAAAAAACUGACUGCUCAUGCCACUGGAUCUCGUGCAAGCAUAUUUACUGCUUGUCGAGGCAUAGUGCGUCAUGAUAUGCAAAUAGCAAUAUAUCUGCUACCUUAUUUAGUUUUAAAUGCUGUUUGUCAUGGUAUCGAGGAAGCUCGUCUAGGAAUAGCUGAAGAAAUUCUAUCUGUUCUUGAUGCUGCUGCCUCGGAGAACACUGGUGCUGUGAGUCAUGUUAUCAGUGGUGGGCAAAGUGAAGUUUGCAUUCAAGCUGUGUUCACUCUCUUAGAUAAUCUUGGGCAAUGGGUGGAUGACAUUGAGCAAGAACUAGCUCUGUCCCAAUCUUUCCAAACAUUAGCUUCUAAGAAGCAAGCUUCCAGGUCCAAAGAUCAAAGUUCAUUUCCUAAUACAGAUCAGGAUCAACUCCUUUCACAAUGUAAAUAUGUUUCAGAGCUUCUGAUUGUGAUUCCAAAGUUAACCCUUGCUAGAGCCUCCUAUAGGUGUCAAGCUUAUGCGAGGUCUUUGAUGUACUUCGAGUCUCAUGUACGAGAAAAGUCUGGCUCCUUUAACCCUGCAGCAGAGAGAAGCGGCAUGUUUGAGGAUGAUGAUGUUUCCUUUCUGAUGGAAAUAUACAGUUGUCUAGAUGAACCUGAUGGUUUAUCUGGCUUGGCGUGUUUACGUAAAUCAUUAAGCUUACAGGAUCAGCUCUUAAUAAACAAAAAGGGAGGAAAUUGGGCAGAGGUUUUGACUUUUUGUGAGCAGGCCUUACAGAUGGAGCCUACAUCAGUCCACAGGCAUUCAGAUGUCCUUAACUGUCUACUGAACAUGUGCCACCUUCAGACCAUGGUCACUCAUGUGGAUGGUUUAGUCUCCAGGUUUCCCCAAUACAAGAAAACAUGGUGUAUGCAAGGUGUGCAGGCAGCAUGGAGGCUUAGCAAGUGGGACUUGAUGAAUGAGUAUCUUAGUGGAGCUGACGAAGAAGGCUUAGUAUGUAGCAGCUCUGAGAGUAAUGCUUGCUUUGAUAUGAAUGUUGCAAAGAUUAUCCAGGCCAUGAUGAAAAAGGAUCAUUUCUCAGUUGCUGAGAAGAUUGCAUUGUCUAAACAAGCUCUGAUUGCUCCUCUUGCUGCAGCAGGCAUGGAUUCCUAUAUGCGGGCUUACCCAUUUAUUGUGAAACUGCACUUGCUAAGGGAGUUGGAAGACUUCCAUACUUUUCUUGGUGAUGGCUCUUUCUUGGAGAAAAAGUUUCAUCUUGGUGAUCUGGCAUUCACAAAAUUGAUGGAUAACUGGGAAAAUCGGCUCAGGUUUACACAACCUUCACUCUGGGCAAGAGAACCACUUUUAGCUUUCCGGAGAUUGGUAUUUGGUGCUAGUGAUCUUGGUGCUCAAGUGGGAAAUUGCUGGCGUCAAUAUGCAAAGCUCUGUCGCCUGGCUGGUCAUUAUGAGACAGCAAACCGAGCAAUUCUAGAGGCCCAGGCUUCAGGUGCACCUAAUGUUCACAUGGAAAAGGCCAAACUUCUGUGGAGUACUAGAAGAUCAGAUGGCGCUAUUGCAGAAUUGCAACAAGCUCUCCUGCACAUGCCAGAGAAGGCUGUAGGCUCUGCUGCAAGGACACUGAUUACUUCUCUUUCGUUGGUUCCAUUGAAUCCCCAAUCUUCACCCUGCGAUGCUCAAGCUUUGAAUGAAAAUCAAGAUAUUGCAAACACUCUUCUCCUAUAUACCAGAUGGAUUCAUUACACUGGACAGAAGCAGAAGGAAGAUGUCAUAACACUUUAUUCCAGGGUGAGAGAAAUGCAGCCAAAGUGGGACAAAGGGUUCUUCUAUUUAGCUAAGUAUUGUGAUGAGGUGCUCGUUGAUGCCAGGAAACGUCAGGAUGACAAUUCUGAACUAGGUCGCAGAGCAGUACCAAAUACAGAGAAGCAUUGGUGGUAUCAUGUACCUGAUGUACUAUUAUUCUAUGCUAAGGGGCUUCAUAAAGGCCACAAGAAUCUCUUUCAAGCUCUUCCAAGGUUGCUAACCUUAUGGUUUGACUUUGGGAGCAUUUAUCUCAGAUGUGGCUCAUCAUCAGAUGAAGAUAUGAAGAAGGUUCAUGGGAAGGUAAUGAGUAUCAUGCGUGGCUGUUUGAAGGAUUUGCCAACAUAUCAAUGGUUAACAGUAUUGCCUCAAUUGGUAUCUAGAGUGUGCCACCAGAAUGAAGAAGUUGUUAAAUUGGUCAGAUGCAUCAUCACCUGUGUCCUCCGGCAAUACCCACAACAAGCAUUGUGGAUUAUGGCAGCUGUUUCAAAAUCCACAGUCCCUUCAAGAAGGGAAGCAGCUGCUGCAAUCAUACAUGAUGCUAAAAAAGGGUUUAGCCAAGGAAAUAAUGGAAGCAAUUUGUUUGUGCAGUUUGCUAGCCUAAUUGAUCAUCUAAUAAAGUUGUGCUUCCACCCAGGCCAGGCAAGGGCACGGACAAUUAAUAUUUCAACUGAAUUCAGCUCCUUAAAGAGGAUGAUGCCAUUGGGAAUUAUUAUGCCAAUCCAACAAUCACUCGCUGUUAGUUUACCGACAUAUAAUGUCAGCCUUACUGACUCACUUACCUCUGAUGUAUUCUCUGCCUCAGAUCUUCCAACAAUUUCAGGAAUUUCUGACGAGGCUGAGAUUCUUUCAUCUCUUCAACGACCUAAGAAAAUCGUUCUGUUGGGCAGUGAUGGUAUUGAACGUCCAUUUCUCUGCAAACCCAAGGAUGAUCUUAGGAAAGAUGCUCGUAUGAUGGAGUUCAAUGCAAUGAUAAACAGGUUAUUAUCCAAAUAUCCUGAAAGCAGACGAAGAAAACUCUAUAUCCGUACUUUUGCAGUGAUUCCUUUAACAGAAGACUGCGGCAUGGUGGAAUGGGUGCCGCACACUCGUGGACUCCGGCAUAUUCUUCAAGACCUAUAUAUAACCUGUGGGAAAUUUGACAGGCAGAAAACUAAUCCUCAAAUUAAACGGAUUUAUGAUCAAUGCCAAGGUAAAAUGCCAGAAGAUGAGAUGCUGAAGAACAAGAUAUUUCCGAUGUUUCCUCCAGUUUUUCAUAAAUGGUUCUUGACCACUUUCUCUGAGCCAGCUGCUUGGUUUAGGGCCCGGGUUGCUUAUGCACAUACUACUGCUGUUUGGUCAAUGGUUGGGCAUAUUGUGGGGCUAGGUGACCGGCAUGGUGAAAACAUUCUCUUUGACUCUACUACGGGUGAUUGUGUUCAUGUGGAUUUUAGUUGCUUAUUUGACAAAGGAUUGCAGUUGGAGAAGCCUGAACUGGUGCCUUUUAGGCUAACACAGAAUAUGAUUGAUGGCUUGGGUAUCACUGGAUAUGAGGGCAUCUUCAUACGGGUAUGCGAAAUCACACUUUCAGUACUGAGGACACAUAGGGAGACUCUGAUGAGUGUCCUUGAAACUUUCAUUCAUGAUCCUUUGGUGGAGUGGACAAAAAUUCAUAAAUCCAGUGGGGUAGAAGUUCAGAACCCACAUGCAAAGCGAGCAAUUAAUAAUAUUGAAGCCAGGCUGCAAGGAGUAGUUGUCGGUGUUGGAGCAGCACCUUCGUUACCUCUAGCUGUGGAAGGCCAAGCACGUCGCUUAAUUGCUGAAGCAGUGUCGCACAAAAACCUUGGAAGGAUGUAUAUAUGGUGGAUGCCAUGGUUUUAGUUCUUAGAACUUGAGAAUUUCCUACUGAAAAAACUUAGGGAUAACUACAAAUGGAUCUUGCAAUUUUUCAUAUCAUUCACAGCAUGUCAAUAUUCUGACAAGACUUUGCUGGCAUGGCUUUCUGGCAUUUCCAUGCUUAUCUCUACUUUUUCUUCAGAGGAUAUGGUGCUUACUCUGUAACAGGGUGCCACUUACCUGCAAGGCUCAUGGAUCCUGCUUCUGUAAUAUAUACUGCACGGAUAGUUUCUAUAGUGGGUUUGACGCCCGAACCCAAAGGUGCCAUCCGCAUGUGUCCCAAACAAAGUGACGUCAAUUUUUUUGUAAUGGGCCUCGUUGCUGAAGAAGAAAGAUAUGAUGGGUGGAGUAUUUCCAUGUGAAAACUGGCAUGGAAGGAACACGUCAUACAGUCAUACUGAAGAUUGGAAGUUUCUGUUUUUGAUGGUCAAGCAUGUAGAGAGAUUAAACCUGAUGAAGGUGAUGGAAGAAGUAUCAAGAAUUUCAACCAUGCAUCUUGCCAGGAGCUUCAACACCUUCAUCUGAAAGAAUAGAUCAUGGAUUUCAGAAGGGAACUGAGAACGCACCUUGCUGGUUCUUCCAGAGAUUGUUCAUUCGGUUAGGAGUACUAUAUAUCUUUCAUGUUCAUAUUAUAGUUCCCCUCUGUACAGCACUGAUCAAUACAGUUGACGAACUUGUAUAUUCUUUUCAAUGUAUAUCUUGAGUAGGUUAAUGGUACAUAUGCAUAUUGGUGAUCGCAGCAUAACUAUGCAUUACCCUAAUUUUCAGUU
This is an RNA transcript of Ricinus communis (castor bean), 9139 nucleotides long. It is a transcript of the gene named serine/threonine-protein kinase ATR, with no coding region annotated. The transcript is spliced from 18 exons. NCBI's taxonomy places the organism in Eukaryota, Viridiplantae, Streptophyta, Magnoliopsida, Malpighiales, Euphorbiaceae. The record is from RefSeq and is a predicted model, not a curated record.